AGAAGAAGAAGAAGAAGAAGAAGAAGAAGAGAGGCCUCGCAUGGCGAUGAGAGCUCGCAUCUGGUAGCCAAGGAUGACUUGCCUGUGUCUCUGCUCAUGUGCAGUAGAAGAAGAUGCAUUUCUAGCUGCUUUCUGCAUAUGUGAUCUCACAGGCAGUCUCCUUGGCUAGCCUGAGCGGCUCUCAUCCUUCAUGCCUGGCUCAUCUCUUCUUAAUGAUCUCUUAUUA
RNAcentral lists this small RNA (226 nucleotides) under Oryza sativa Japonica Group (Japanese rice). Lineage: Eukaryota; Viridiplantae; Streptophyta; Magnoliopsida; Poales; Poaceae. The record is from RNAcentral.